ACGCUGGCGGCGUGCCUAAUACAUGCAAGUAGAACGCUGAAGAGAGGAGCUUGCUCUUCUUGGAUGAGUUGCGAACGGGUGAGUAACGCGUAGGUAACCUGCCUUGUAGCGGGGGAUAACUAUUGGAAACGAUAGCUAAUACCGCAUAACAAUGGAUGACACAUGUCAUUUAUUUGAAAGGGGCAAUUGCUCCACUACAAGAUGGACCUGCGUUGUAUAGCUAGUAGGUGAGGUAACGGCUCACCUAGGCGACGAUACAUAGCCGACCUGAGAGGGUGAUCGGCCACACUGGGACUGAGACACGGCCCAGACUCCUACGGGAGGCAGCAGUAGGGAAUCUUCGGCAAUGGGGGCAACCCUGACCGAGCAACGCCGCGUGAGUGAAGAAGGUUUUCGGAUCGUAAAGCUCUGUUGUAAGUCAAGAACGAGUGUGAGAGUGGAAAGUUCACACUGUGACGGUAGCUUACCAGAAAGGGACGGCUAACUACGUGCCAGCAGCCGCGGUAAUACGUAGGUCCCGAGCGUUGUCCGGAUUUAUUGGGCGUAAAGCGAGCGCAGGCGGUUUGAUAAGUCUGAAGUUAAAGGCUGUGGCUCAACCAUAGUUCGCUUUGGAAACUGUCAAACUUGAGUGCAGAAGGGGAGAGUGGAAUUCCAUGUGUAGCGGUGAAAUGCGUAGAUAUAUGGAGGAACACCGGUGGCGAAAGCGGCUCUCUGGUCUGUAACUGACGCUGAGGCUCGAAAGCGUGGGGAGCGAACAGGAUUAGAUACCCUGGUAGUCCACGCCGUAAACGAUGAGUGCUAGGUGUUGGAUCCUUUCCGGGAUUCAGUGCCGCAGCUAACGCAUUAAGCACUCCGCCUGGGGAGUACGACCGCAAGGUUGAAACUCAAAGGAAUUGACGGGGGCCCGC
RNAcentral lists this ribosomal RNA (908 nucleotides) under uncultured bacterium. Its description in RNAcentral is "bacterial SSU rRNA". It matches the Rfam family "Bacterial small subunit ribosomal RNA", at positions 33 to 924 of the family's 1533-position model. The record is from RNAcentral.